RNAcentral lists this ribosomal RNA (468 nucleotides) under uncultured bacterium. RNAcentral describes it as "partial 16S ribosomal RNA". It matches the Rfam family "Bacterial small subunit ribosomal RNA", at positions 28 to 507 of the family's 1533-position model. The record is from RNAcentral.
GACGAACGCUGGCGGCGUGCCUAACACAUGCAAGUCGAACGGAAAGGCGCUGCUUUUGCGGGGUGCUCGAGUGGCGAACGGGUGUGUAACACAUGAGUAUCCUGCCCUUGACUUUGUGAUAUCUUCAGGAAACUGCGGCUAAUACCGGAUAGGAGCUCCUGCUGCAUGGUGGGCGUUGGAAAGUUUCGGCCGUUGGGGCUGGACUCGCGGGUUACCAGCUUGUUGGUGGAGUAGUUGCUUACCAAGGGUUAGACGGGUAGCCGGCAUGGGAGGGGGAACGGGCACAAGAGUACUGCGAGACGGAGCAGUCUCGAACGGGAGGCAGUGGGGGAGAGUAUGACACAGUGAGGGGAAGCGUGAGACGGCGACGCCGGGUGCGGGAUGACGGCCUACGGGUUGUGAACCGCUUUCGCCUGAGACGAAGCGGGAGUGACGGUAAUGGGUAAAGAAGCACCGGCUAACUACGUG